UAUUUUUUUUUUUUGGGGGUAGAUAUUUGAGUUGGGGCACAGAACGGUUGCAAAGGCAACUAGAAGAAAACAUCUCAUAAAAUCAAUGUCAGAUAUAUCAGGCUUAAGCAUUCUCAACCCAAACCACUUGAUAGAAGGCACUGUAGGUUCACCAAUAAUAUUGAGGAAAGUUGCUUUUGCAACCUCACUGUGAAAUAAAACUGAGGUGCCACCUAAUGGAAGACCAAGCAGUAGAUGAAAUGAUUCAGGGCUCAUUGGAGUGACUUUACUGUCGAGAACUAUGUCACCAGCAGGUGGAUUUACUUUCCCUGCUAUCCAUUGUGCAAAACCUCUUGGUACUGAAUUGCACUCAAAAUCAAGAAUAAAAGAGCAACCAUAAUUUUUUAUGACAUCUAAUCUUGAUGGUGGAAUUUUCUUGAGCAGAUCACUGAAAUAGCCAUGAUUACACCUGCUCGUUGCCUUCUUUGUAGGAAGUGGGGCACGCUGACCAAAAAAAUAAAAAAAACUCAAAAACAACAACUAAAAACAUAGCGUCAAUAUGAAACUAAAAACAUAGAUUAAUCGGCAUAAUUGUUAUUGACUCAGAAUCUAUAUAAUGUUUACUGUCCAAAAGAUUAGAGAACUGUUGUUCGCACUAAGUAUGUGGGAAAAAAAUAGAUGUGUUUCAUUUGAUACAAGCAAAACAAAAACAAAACAAAACUACUUGAGUACAAUCGGUAUCCUUGGGACACUGAUGAACUUGAUUCGACUCUAAUGUAAAAAGUUGGCAAACAUUUGCAACACUCUCAAAUUACAUUUAGUGUCAGACUCCUAAUCAAAAAGUGUUGAGCGAAAAAAAAACAUUUGCAUUAUUUAUUAAUCAUCAACAUCACAUGGCACAUGUAAAAAACAAAAUGACUGUAAUUUAUCAAAAUUAAUGACUGAAAAUACAACGCAUAAGGGGAAUAUCUGUUGGGACACCUGUAAUUUUAAAAGCUGAAGUGUGGAAAACCUAAAAAGCCUGACCUGUCAUGCACACUCACAUAAGACCUAUUGCAUCUAAGAAUGGUUCUAAGCAAAAGGAAAAAAUUUGCAAAACAGCAAAUAAAAUCAUCAUAUUUAGUUACUAACUACCAAAAAGACUCUAUCAACAUGAACACGGAUAAAAUGAUUGAACAUAUUCUACAACACAGAAAACUAUGAAAGCUUGUAUACUCAUAUAUAUAGUACUAAAAAAGGCAGAAUGAUGAGCUAAAAUGACAGUAAAUAUGAAUAAAUCAAAAUGUAUAUUCAUAUAAAUGGAGGAAAAAGUUGCUAUGAGAAAGACUUACGCAGAGAUUCUUAGAAGAAUUGGCAUUGUCAUUUGAUGAGUAAAACUGUUAGGAAUCACAAAAGCAAAAGGUAUUAGUAAGUUAUGAAAACACAAAACAAAAAUCAAAAGUACUAAAAAACAAGUUUAACUUAGAAAUAUGAAAAUUCUGCAUAUUCAAAAUUACCAAGAUCUAUAUACACAUAAUAUACAAACUCAAAGUUAUAACAAGGAAAUUACCAAAUUUCGCAAGUUGUUCAGGAAAUUUUUGACAUCAAACUGUGGGUCUCCACCACCUACCUGGAAACCAGUAGAAAAGAUUUUUGGUUAUGCCACUUUCACAAGAAAUGACAUCACUAGAAACUGUGAACCUUCUAGUCGAAAACAUAAACAUUUAGAACAAUGAGAACAUACAUCAAGAAACUGAGUUUGUCCUUCUUUAAACUGGCUUUGCGAAGCAAAGGUUUCAUCUAGAUCAUCGUCGCAGUACAUCCCUUUGUUGUCUUCCGAAUCAUUGGUGUCACUAGCCAUUUUCUGCAUACACAAAAAAAACAUUGGCUUAGAAAAUAUUGUAACAACUAAAUGAUCUCAAACAAUAAGCAUAGAAGGAAAAACAGGUACUUGUAUUAGAAUACAGUAAUUUAGAGGACUGAAAUCAUCAGUAGACAAAAUGAAACUCAUGAAGACAAAACCAUAGAGGUUGCAUCUGGAAAAAAACACCCACAUGAACUCAAGUUUAGCUAUGAUAUUUGAGGUCAAAUUAAUGACUAAUUGCAACUACAAAAUAGCAGGCAUUAGACAUGAACAGAAGCACACACGUCCUUCAUAUCAAUGCAUCUGACAUCACAUAUAAAAAGCAUGACUAUGAUCUUAGUAGCCCUGUGCAAACCAAAUCUAAGCAGCUAAACAAUCUGACAUGACACAUGAAAAACUGACAGUACAGCAAUGAAAACAUUGCACAUGCCUGAUAGAAACAACAUCUCCUCUGAGUUCAUUAAGCACAGGGCAAAUCCACACCAACAAAAUUUGGAAGCUACUGGUUGAAACUAUGGAUUUCAAGCUGUAUUCUAUAGAGACGCAACUAAAAACACCAGGCAUUAGAUUUCAAAGUGGGCUGCACUCAGGCCACCAAGUGAAACAAAAUUGAAAUUCAGAAACAAUUGCGCAUCUAAACAGCAGCGCAAUUCAGGAGCACCUGCGAGAACCACGCUAAACAUCUCAAUCUAACAGAUCACGCUAAACAUCUCAAUCUAACAGAUCACGUAGUCAAUCAUGCAAUCCUAGGGUUUGGAGAAAGGGAUCCGGAAAUUCAACACGAGGGGAAAAGGCAUACGGGGAGAAUGAACCUGAGAUAGAUGCAGAAGGAGGCGCGCUCUCAGAUGGUGUGAGCAGAGCACCAAUUUGCCGGAGCACUGGCGCAGCAACGGUGGUCACGUCGCCGGAGAGGAAGGAGAGGAGAGGACAACGCGCCCGAGGAGAGGAGCACCCCCACAGAAAGGGAACGGACUUCUGAUUUUUGAAAUAAUGAUGAUGUCACCACUCACGCAAGUCAUCCGUUGCGCAACUCAUCAGUCACGGAAGGCCCAGUCAUGCACGCUCAGAAAAGAAGAACAAACUUAAAAGAAAAAAAGAACGAAUCUCAAAGCACUGAAUAAACGGCCUGCUUUCAAAACUGAUGCAACGAGACUCUUUGGCUAAUGAUUUUCACAUAUGGAAAAUGCACGAAUCACACAGCAUCAAUGAUAUUCACAUAUAGGAAAAACCAUAGAUGCUUCAGAAAACAUUCACAUAAAAAUAAAAUAGGGAAAAAAGAUAAAACUUAAGAAAUUUUGAAGCAUUAGUUCCAUUAGGCAAAACCAUUUUUAAACACUUUUAAAAACAUUUGAGAUGAUGAAACACUCAACACACAUUUAACUUUAGAAAAAACGAAUGAAAAAAUGUACAGAAGUAAAUUUAGUGAUACUGGUGAACAGAAAUCAAUAUGACACCAAAGAGAAAAAAUAAAACUAUAUGAUCGGCAAGGAAAAAUGUCAAUCAUAUUAAAGUAGACUCAUCAGGGGUAAAAAAUCAUUUCAUAGAUAAAAAGGAAAAAAAUCAAACAAUUUAUCAGGUGACUUUGAACCAACAAUUGAUAUGAUCUAUGAAAUGAAAAGAUCAAUCAAAGAAUUUGUUGAUCACCCAGGAAAAAAAUGAAAAAUUCAAACUCACAAAACAAACUACAAAAAGAUAUAAAUAAAUUCAAAAAUAUCAAACAGAAAAGAUUACAGCAAACACACACAACCACAAAAAUAACAUUAAAACAUUCGCAAAAGUAUGAUAACCGUUGAAUCAUAAGACAUAGUUCAGAUAGCACGAACGAUAAGCAUACUUUUCUUCAGACCUCAACUUAAACUACAGGUUAACCACCCAAACUUUUCAUCAGUAUUCAACUUAACUACGGAUAGCUUAAAGUAUCUACUACAUACAUCCAAAAGGUAACACAAUCCAACAUAUAAGCCACCACAAAGUUAUAGCCUGCAAACGAAAGAACCGAGUACAGCCACUUCUUUCCCAAAAUAAACUUGUAUCAUUGUUUUCAUCUAGAGAAGCCACUGGAAGACAAUUGAAAUUGAACAGUCAUAAGUUGACUCAUUGAAGGUGAUGAGCACAACAUUGUCAUUUGCAUAUGAAGUGGCUGAGAUGAACUCGCUGAAACUGGUCUUCUCGAUCACCAUCCUCCCAUGUUGCUUGCACAGCUUGAAAGAUGAUGGCAUGAUAACAUGUGUAUCACCCAGGUAAGCUUCCAGAGAGAUUCUAGCACUGAUUGGCAUGUCAACAAAGUUCCUCAAGCUAAAGACAACGAGCUUUGGAAUUUUCUAACAAUGAAAAUGAAAAAGUAUGGAUCAAAAAUUGCUACCCCAGAAAAAUCUUCAUCAAGACUAAACUUGCAUGAACAAAUCAUUUAGCACAACAAAAAUGUAAACAAAUAAAGAAAAAAUAGAAUGAAGCAGUAAAGUACAAAACUUACCAUGGUGAACUUCUCAGUAUUUGUGGCAGUCAUGACAUGCACGAACGGAACGCAGUGCACGAAGCUUGAAGUCCGGAAAAUUGACCGUACAAACAAGCGGUUGUUGUGAUAGUUGAACUCCAAGCCGCGUGGCAUCACAGCAGAGCAAACUAGCUCGUACCUUGCAUUGCUGAGGUUUUCAAAAGCUACAAAACGGAACACAUAUAAUGCAAAUGAGUUAACAUCUAUGAGAAAAAAUGCAACUAAAAAGGAGAAGAAAAAACAAUGCAGUUAAAAGGAUAAUAAACUACAAACAAAGGCAGAAAACCUCCCUAAAAGCACAAACUACAAAACUCAUGGUUAGAACUAAAAUUGCAACUUCACGCAACUUAAACUUGCAGUUAUUCCUCUAGAGCUACUAGAAAUACGAUAGUAUGAGAAUGUAGAUAUACAUUUCCACAAGAAACAGAAAUAAUGGGUAGCAUUAACAACACAUAACUACAUUGUCAUAAACAAAAGAAGUUAAAAGUAGAAGUAAAAGAAAACACCUCCCUAAAUGCAGAAUUCAGAUCGAUUCAUGAUUGCUACUGAAAAAUGCGUUUACAGGCAAGUAAAGUUGCAGUCAUUGUUUAACAGCAAACGAGCAUGAAAUAAAUUGAGAAAGACAAAAAAGACAACAAGGUAAGUACACAUUUCCGUUAACGAAGAGCUUAAACUAGAAGUAAAGCAGAACACCACUUUUUGGAAAAUUUAAAAAAAAUCAUAAUUACAACUAUAUUUGCAUCUUCAGAGUAAAGGGAGCAGGUCAAAGCUGCAAUACAAGAAAACUCACCAAUAGAAGGUAAAGGAAGAAUCCUUUCGCCAUCACGGAAAGUCUCUACUUUGAUGUCAAAGCAUGAGUUGUCCAGAGUAAAGACCACACGAUCUCCAGCGCGAAGGGCAUAAUCAUUGCUGAACUCAAACCAAGCACUGCCACAAAACUUUGAGUAGUUACCUCGAUGCUUAAAGUCUGAAGCAUAAGACCUACUCUCAUAGUGAGAAUAGCAGGCUCAGUCCUCUUGUGCUUGAAAGUUGUUGCAAUAUUCAUGUGCUCCUCGAUAUAAUCAGCUAAGAAACCCCUCACAUUGCAUGGUAUGUACUGAAAAAAAGCAUGAAACAAACCAAGAGAAAGUAAAAAUAUAGCAUAAAAACAAAAUUGCACAUCCAUCAUGCUUACAAAAAUUAGACAUUUAACAAAACAGCAAAACGAUCAUAUUAAUUAAGUUGAUAUCAUUAUUGACGGUUUAGAUGGAGGAAUCAAACUGCGUGGAUUACUGGAAGUAGAUACGUGGAGGAAAUCAAAACUACAUUCACAAACUAUAAGUACAGCAAAACACAAAGAAAUAAAAAAAGCACAUUCAUCACAAUUAAAAAAACACAUUUUACAACAUCAACUACUGAUAUUAACCUUGCUGUUAUUGAAAUUUAAAGUAUAGUGAGGUAGAUAUGUUGGUUUAACUAAAAGGCAUUUAAACUACAUAGAACUACAGAAACAACAACUCAUCCAUAAAAAUAAAAAAAUAGGAUUCGAACUACUAUCUUCAUGAAUACUGCACUUGUACACAGUUUGCGUGAACAUCAAUUUUGACAAGCAGGGAUUACUUGAACUACACACUACCUCAGUUCCCUACUAAAAUAAAAUAGAAUUUGCAAGCACAUACAAAGGUUAUGAACAAGAAUAAAAAAAUGUAAAGAGAUAAGAUGAAUACAACUCACCAUCCUCCUAAAGCAAUACUCAUCAAGGAUAACAUCGAAAACUUCUGGGACUUCAUCGGCUGGCACAAAUGGAAAGCAUGGGGCGCCAGGACAACGACAAACU
RNAcentral lists this long non-coding RNA (6132 nucleotides) under Triticum aestivum (bread wheat). Its description in RNAcentral is "long non-coding RNA (TAES_LNC020117)". The record is from RNAcentral. Lineage: Eukaryota; Viridiplantae; Streptophyta; Magnoliopsida; Poales; Poaceae.